CUGAUGCCCAACUAGACGACCUCACCAUCUGCUCGAGUUCUGCUGUGAUGGGAACAAAAGAAACUCGCUGUGGGAAACUACGAAGCAAGGGAUAGCUUUGAAGUGACAGUGCUUCAUAACAUUCUGUUUCAUCUCUUAAAGCUGCCUGCUUCCACCUGAGCUGAUGCAUUGAGACUGAAGGACCUUGCAAGGCACAAGUGGGAUCAUUCUUGUGCUUGAGACAGACAUGAUAGGAUGAAUGCAGCUUUUCUCCUAUUUGUUGAUAUUGUACUGGCAUGUUAGGUUGCACUGUUGAGUGGUAAAGGGUCACAGACUUCGGUGGAGAAAUCAGAUGAAGUCAGAACAUCCUGACAUGUGUGAGAACAUAAAUCUGAUAGACCAUUUCA
This is a long non-coding RNA of Salvelinus fontinalis (brook trout), 386 nucleotides long. RefSeq lists it as uncharacterized. The transcript has 2 exons. The record is from RefSeq and is a predicted model, not a curated record. NCBI's taxonomy places the organism in Eukaryota, Metazoa, Chordata, Actinopteri, Salmoniformes, Salmonidae.